AUUGAACGCUGGCGGAAUGCUUUACACAUGCAAGUCGAACGGCAGCACGGGGGCAACCCUGGUGGCGAGUGGCGAACGGGUGAGUAAUACAUCGGAACGUGCCCGGUCGUGGGGGAUAACGUAGCGACAGGUACGCUAAUACCGCAUACGAUCUGAGGAUGAAAGCGGGGGACCUUCGGGCCUCGCGCGAUCGGAGCGGCCGAUGUCAGAUUAGGUAGUUGGUGGGGUAAAGGCCUACCAAGCCGACGAUCUGUAGCUGGUCUGAGAGGACGACCAGCCACACUGGGACUGAGACACGGCCCAGACUCCUACGGGAGGCAGCAGUGGGGAAUUUUGGACAAUGGGCGCAAGCCUGAUGCAGCCAUUCCGCGUGCAGGACGAAGGCCUUCGGGUUGUAAACUGCUUUUGUAUGGAACGAAAAGGCUCUGGCUAAUACCUGGGGCUCAUGACGGUACCGUAAGAAUAAGCACCGGCUAACUACGUG
Molecule: ribosomal RNA, 484 nt
Filed under: uncultured bacterium
Lineage: Bacteria
Description: partial 16S ribosomal RNA
Rfam family: Bacterial small subunit ribosomal RNA
Source: RNAcentral